RNAcentral lists this microRNA (21 nucleotides) under Ananas comosus (pineapple). RNAcentral's name for it is "microRNA s1152_c008b". The record is from RNAcentral. Lineage: Eukaryota; Viridiplantae; Streptophyta; Magnoliopsida; Poales; Bromeliaceae.
GUAAUUCGAAGGGUUCCUCCU